This 253-nucleotide ribosomal RNA is filed under the name uncultured bacterium. RNAcentral's name for it is "partial 16S ribosomal RNA". It matches the Rfam family "Bacterial small subunit ribosomal RNA", at positions 524 to 776 of the family's 1533-position model. The record is from RNAcentral.
UACGUAGGGGGCAAGCGUUGUCCGGAUUUAUUGGGCGUAAAGAGCUCGUAGGUGGCUUGUUGCGUCUGCCGUGAAAGCCCGUGGCUUAACUACGGGUCUGCGGUGGAUACGGGCAGGCUAGAGGCUGGUAGGGGCAAGCGGAAUUCCUGGUGUAGCGGUGAAAUGCGCAGAUAUCAGGAAGAACACCCGUGGCGAAGGCGGUUCUCUGGGACGGUACUGACGCUGAGACGCGAAAGCGUGGGGAGCGAACAGG